AGGCGAACGUGGGGAACUGAAACAUCUAAGUACCCAUAGGAGGAGAAAAUAAACAAUGAUUCCGUAAGUAGUGGCGAGCGAACACGGAAGAGCCCAAACCCAUGUCGUCUAGGCGACACGGGGGUUGUAGGACCACGACGUGGCAAGAUAGAGUCAAGUGGAACGCCUUGGAAAAGGCGGUCAUAGAGGGUGAAAACCCCGUACACGACUGACGAUUGAAGCCUAGUGGCAUCCUGAGUAGCGCGGGGCACGAGAAAUCUUGCGUGAAUUAGCGGGGCCCAUCCCGUAAGGCUAAAUACUCCCGAGAGACCGAUAGCGAACCAGUACCGUGAGGGAAAGGUGAAAAGAACCCCGAGCAGGGGAGUGAAAUAGACCCUGAACCCGUCUGCCUACAAGCGGUCGGAGCGUCGUAAUGACGUGACGGCGUGCCUUUUGCAUAAUGAACCUACGAGUUACCUUCCCCGGCAAGGUUAAGUUCUUGAGGAACGGAGCCGAAGCGAAAGCGAGUCUGAACAGGGCGCCAAGUCGGGGGGGGUAGACGCGAAACCGAGUGAUCUACCCUUGGCCAGGUUGAAGGUUGGGUAACACCAACUGGAGGACCGGAUGGGUAAGCGUUGAAAAGCUUUCCAAUGAGCUGAGGGUAGGGGUGAAAGGCUAAUCAAACUCGGAGAUAGCUCGUACUCCCCGAAAUGCAUUUAGGUGCAGCCUCUUUAUAGUAUAUCGUGAGGUAGAGCGACUGAUUGGAUGCGAGGGCUUCACCGCCUAUCAAGUCCAGAUAAACUCCGAAUGCGCGAUAUAUAUUUACAGGGAGUGAGGGCGCGGGUGCUAAGGUCCGUGUCCGAGAGGAGAAGAAUCCAGACCACCGGCUAAGGCCCCCAAAUGAUCGUUAAGUUGAACUAACGAGGUCGGAUCGCAGAGACAGCUAGGAUGUUGGCUUGGAAGCAGCCAUUCAUUUAAAGAGUGCGUAACAGCUCACUAGUCGAGCGAUCUGGCGUGGAUAAUAAUCGGGCAUAAACGAUCUGCCGAAGCCGUGGAUGUCGCAAGACAUGGUAGGGGAGCAUUCCAUGCCGCGUCGAAGAUAAGGGAUGACCCUUGUUGGAGCGCAUGGAAAAGCAAAUGUAGGUAUGAGUAACGAUAAGGGGGGCGAGAAACCCCCCCGCCGAAAGACCAAGGUUUCCUGAUCAACGCUAAUCGGAUCAGGGUGAGUCGGGACCUAAGGCAAAGCCGAACGGCGCCGCCGAUGGAAGAAUGGGUUAAUAUUCCCAUACUGCCUCAUGGAGUGACGUGGAGACGGAGAAGUGACAGUCCUGCCGGCUGACGGAAUAGCCGGUUGAAGGGUGUAGAUAUUGAUUCCCGUAGGCAAAUCCGCGGGGAGAGUCGAACCUGAGAGUAUACGGAGCGCUUGCGCAACGUAAUAUGGACGUAACCAUGCUCCCGAGAAAAUCCGCUAAACUUAUCCAUGCGGCACCCGUACCGUAAACGGACACACGUGGUCGGGUUGAGAAUACUGAGGCGCUCGAGUGAUUCACGGUUAAGGAACUAGGCAAAUUGACCCUGUAACUUCGGGAUAAAGGGUCCUCGUCGUAAGGCGAGGCGCAGAGAAUAGGUCCAGGCAACUGUUUAACAAAAACACAUGGCUGUGCUAAAUGGAAACAUGAUGUAUACAGCCUGACACCUGCCCGGUGCCGGAAGGUUAAGAGGAGAUGUCAUCCGCGAGGAGAAGCGUUGAAUUGAAGCCCCGGUAAACGGCGGCCGUAACUAUAACGGUCCUAAGGUAGCGAAAUUCCUUGUCAGGUAAGUUCUGACCCGCACGAAUGGCGUAAUGAUUUGGGCACUGUCUCAACAGCCCGCCCGGCGAAAUUGUAGUACUGGUGAAGAUGCCAGUUACCCGCAACUAGACGGAAAGACCCCAUGGAGCUUUACUGCAGCUUAAUACUGAGAUUCGGUAAUUCAUGUACAGGAUAGGUGGGAGACUUAGAAGCAGAGUCGUUAGGCGCUGUGGAGUCACCCUUGGGAUACCACCCUUGGAUUGCUGGGUUUCUAACCUGCGGCCAUGAAUCUGGUCGGGGGACACUGUUAGGCGGGCAGUUUGACUGGGGCGGUCGCCUCCUAAAGUGUAGCGGAGGCGCUCAAAGCUUGGCUCAGCAUGGAUGGAAAUCAUGCAAUGAGUGUAAACGUAUAAGCCAAGUUGACUGCGAGACCGACGGGUCGAGCAGGUACGAAAGUAGGAGUUAGUGAUCCGGUGGUAUGUGAGUGGAAAUGCCAUCGCUCAACGGAUAAAA
RNAcentral lists this ribosomal RNA (2282 nucleotides) under human gut metagenome. Its description in RNAcentral is "bacterial LSU rRNA". It matches the Rfam family "Bacterial large subunit ribosomal RNA", at positions 177 to 2461 of the family's 2925-position model. The record is from RNAcentral.